GCAAGUCGAGGGGUAACAGGAAAGCUUGCUUUUUUGCUGACGACCGGCGCACGGGUGCGUAACGCGUAUAGAACCUACCUUUUACAGAGGAAUAGCCUUUAGAAAUGAAGAUUAAUACCUCAUGGCACUAAGAUUUGGCAUCAUAACUUAGUUAAAGAUUUAUCGGUAAAAGAUGGCUAUGCGUCCUAUUAGCUAGAUGGUAAGGUAACGGCUUACCAUGGCAACGAUAGGUAGGGGUCCUGAGAGGGAGAUC
RNAcentral lists this ribosomal RNA (253 nucleotides) under uncultured bacterium. RNAcentral's name for it is "partial 16S ribosomal RNA". It matches the Rfam family "Bacterial small subunit ribosomal RNA", at positions 57 to 305 of the family's 1533-position model. The record is from RNAcentral.